Molecule: non-coding RNA, 637 nt
Organism: Drosophila suzukii
Lineage: Eukaryota; Metazoa; Arthropoda; Insecta; Diptera; Drosophilidae
Source: RefSeq, a predicted model, not a curated record
UGAGCUUGUCACUCCUUUGAAACAAACUUGCACUUUCUCAGAACCAUUAGAACCUGUAUGCUUAAUCCCAACAUCAAGGACUUAUAACUCAGCGUUCAUAGGAAGGGGCAGACAGACAUGGCUAGAUCGACUCGGCUAGUGAACACUUCCUUCUACCUGCCGUGCACGUUCCUACUUAAAUAAUCGACCCUUUUACUCUACGAGUAACGGGUAUAAUCGUCGUCGGUUCUAUUUUUCAGCGCGGUACUCAGAUAAGCUAGGGAAAUACCAGAAAAAAAACCAGAUUUAGCGAAUGAGUUUCGAUGAACGCCCUUAGCUGCGGCCCAAAGAAUAAGAAAUUUAAUCUUAAGCGGUGUUCGUGCAAAGGCGGUGUGGAAACUAUAAAUUAAAAACGGAAGGACAACCCCGAAAUCGACUGCAGGAGGAAGCAAUACCACAACGGGGCAAAUCCGCAGAAUAGUUGCAGUGCUGGAGGAUAUUCCCAAGGGAGUCCCAGUGACAUUUUGCCGUGUCCUCGCAAAGAAACAGAACCACCCGUAUUACGAUCGCCGACGACCUCUCCAUUAGGACUGCGGAUACCACCACCAUCAGCUACUUGGCAGCUUAUGCGGAGCUGGAGGACCCGCUGGCUUCUAUA